UACAGAGGUCUCAAGCGUUGUUCGGAUUCAUUGGGCGUAAAGGGUGCGUAGGUGGCGAGGUAAGUCGGAUGUGAAAUCUCCAAGCUCAACUUGGAAACUGCAUUCGAUACUGCUUUGCUAGAGGAUUGUAGAGGGCAUUGGAAUUCACGGUGUAGCAGUGAAAUGCGUAGAUAUCGUGAAGAAGACCAGUGGCGAAGGCGAAUGCCUGGGCAAUUCCUGACACUGAGGCACGAAGGCCAGGGGAGCAAACGGG
Molecule: ribosomal RNA, 253 nt
Filed under: uncultured bacterium
Lineage: Bacteria
Description: partial 16S ribosomal RNA
Rfam family: Bacterial small subunit ribosomal RNA
Source: RNAcentral